AUACGGAGGGUGCAAGCGUUAUCCGGAUUUAUUGGGUUUAAAGGGUCCGCAGGCGGACUUGUAAGUCAGAGGUGAAAGCCGGCAGCUCAACUGUCGAACUGCCUUUGAAACUGCAAGUCUUGAGUGAGGUUGAAGUAGCUAGAAUGAGUAGUGUAGCGGUGAAAUGCUUAGAUAUUACUCAGAAUACCAAUUGCGAAGGCAGGUUACUAAGUCUUAACUGACGCUGAGGGACGAAAGCGUGGGGAGCGAACAGGAUUAGAUACCCUGGUAGUCCACGCCGUAAACGAUGGAUACUGUCUGUUGGAUCGCAAGAUUCAGUGGAUAAGCGAAAGUGAUAAGUAUCCCACCUGGGGAGUACGUUCGCAAGAAUGAA
RNAcentral lists this ribosomal RNA (373 nucleotides) under uncultured bacterium. Its description in RNAcentral is "bacterial SSU rRNA". It matches the Rfam family "Bacterial small subunit ribosomal RNA", at positions 523 to 898 of the family's 1533-position model. The record is from RNAcentral.